This 683-nucleotide ribosomal RNA is filed under the name uncultured Vibrionaceae bacterium. RNAcentral's name for it is "bacterial SSU rRNA". It matches the Rfam family "Bacterial small subunit ribosomal RNA", at positions 1 to 671 of the family's 1533-position model. Lineage: Bacteria; Pseudomonadati; Pseudomonadota; Gammaproteobacteria; Vibrionales; Vibrionaceae. The record is from RNAcentral.
CGCGGGAUUAGAGUUUGAUCAUGGCUCAGAUUGAACGCUGGCGGCAGGCCUAACACAUGCAAGUCGAGCGGUAACACAAGGGAGCUUGCUCCUGAGGUGACGAGCGGCGGACGGGUGAGUAAUGCCUAGGUAUCUGCCCAGUCGAGGGGGGUAACAGUUGGAAACGACUGCUAAUACCGCAUACGCCCUACGGGGGAAAGGAGGGGACCUUCGGGCCUUUCGCGAUUGGAUGAACCUAGGUGGGAUUAGCUAGUAGGUGGGGUAAUGGCUCACCUAGGCGACGAUCCCUAGCUGGUCUGAGAGGAUGAUCAGCCACACUGGAACUGAGACACGGUCCAGACUCCUACGGGAGGCAGCAGUGGGGAAUAUUGCACAAUGGGCGAAAGCCUGAUGCAGCCAUGCCGCGUGUAUGAAGAAGGCCUUCGGGUUGUAAAGUACUUUCAGCGGGGAGGAAAGCUCAAUUGUUAAUAGCGAUUGGGUGUGACGUUACUCGCAGAAGAAGCACCGGCUAACUUCGUGCCAGCAGCCGCGGUAAUACGAGGGGUGCAAGCGUUAAUCGGAAUUACUGGGCGUAAAGCGUACGCAGGCGGUUUGUUAAGCGAGAUGUGAAAGCCCCGGGCUCAACCUGGGAACUGCAUUUCGAACUGGCAAACUAGAGUCCUGUAGAGGGGGGUAGAAUUUCA